UGCUCUAGGAUGCAGCCUCAGGCCUG
RNAcentral lists this non-coding RNA (26 nucleotides) under Rattus norvegicus (Norway rat). The record is from RNAcentral. Lineage: Eukaryota; Metazoa; Chordata; Mammalia; Rodentia; Muridae.